GCUCCAGCCCUCGCUGCUCCAAACAGGAUAAGCAGUAAAGACGAUGGAUGGAUGGAUGGAUGGAUGGAUGGAUGAGUCCCCUCCUUGACAUAAAGUCUUAUAAGAUGGAACCAUUUACAACCAGAGCAGGAAACCAGGCCUCUGAUUCGGAUUGGUCGGUGGCAACGCUGCCAUUGAGCUCGCCCAGUCCCGUUUGCUCCUGGAUGUCAGUCAUCUCCCCG
This is a long non-coding RNA of Cheilinus undulatus (humphead wrasse), 221 nucleotides long. RefSeq lists it as uncharacterized. The record is from RefSeq and is a predicted model, not a curated record. Lineage: Eukaryota; Metazoa; Chordata; Actinopteri; Labriformes; Labridae. The transcript is spliced from 3 exons.